CGGACGGGGGUUCGAUUCCCCCCGCCUCCACUU
This 33-nucleotide non-coding RNA is filed under the name marine metagenome. The record is from RNAcentral.